RNAcentral lists this microRNA (21 nucleotides) under Medicago truncatula (barrel medic). Its description in RNAcentral is "mtr-miR2655o". Lineage: Eukaryota; Viridiplantae; Streptophyta; Magnoliopsida; Fabales; Fabaceae. The record is from miRBase by way of RNAcentral.
CGUUUAGGUCCCUUAACUUUA